UGCAGAGGUCUCAAGCGUUGUUCGGAUUCAUUGGGCGUAAAGGGUGCGUAGGUGGCGCGGUAAGUCGGGUGUGAAAUUUCGGAGCUUAACUCCGAAACUGCAUUCGAUACUGCCGUGCUUGAGGACUGGAGAGGAGACUGGAAUUUACGGUGUAGCAGUGAAAUGCGUAGAGAUCGUAAGGAAGACCAGUGGCGAAGGCGGGUCUCUGGACAGUUCCUGACACUGAGGCACGAAGGCCAGGGGAGCAAACGGG
Molecule: ribosomal RNA, 253 nt
Filed under: uncultured bacterium
Lineage: Bacteria
Description: partial 16S ribosomal RNA
Rfam family: Bacterial small subunit ribosomal RNA
Source: RNAcentral